This 602-nucleotide ribosomal RNA is filed under the name uncultured bacterium. Its description in RNAcentral is "bacterial SSU rRNA". It matches the Rfam family "Bacterial small subunit ribosomal RNA", at positions 122 to 719 of the family's 1533-position model. The record is from RNAcentral.
GAAUCUGCCUGGUAGUGGGGGAUAACGUUCGGAAACGGACGCUAAUACCGCAUACGUCCUACGGGAGAAAGCAGGGGACCUUCGGGCCUUGCGCUAUCAGAUGAGCCUAGGUCGGAUUAGCUAGUUGGUGGGGUAAUGGCUCACCAAGGCUACGAUCCGUAACUGGUCUGAGAGGAUGAUCAGUCACACUGGAACUGAGACACGGUCCAGACUCCUACGGGAGGCAGCAGUGGGGAAUAUUGGACAAUGGGCGAAAGCCUGAUCCAGCCAUGCCGCGUGUGUGAAGAAGGUCUUCGGAUUGUAAAGCACUUUAAGUUGGGAGGAAGGGUUGUAGAUUAAUACUCUGCAAUUUUGACGUUACCGACAGAAUAAGCACCGGCUAACUCUGUGCCAGCAGCCGCGGUAAUACAGAGGGUGCAAGCGUUAAUCGGAAUUACUGGGCGUAAAGCGCGCGUAGGUGGUUUGUUAAGUUGGAUGUGAAAUCCCCGGGCUCAACCUGGGAACUGCAUUCAAAACUGACUGACUAGAGUAUGGUAGAGGGUGGUGGAAUUUCCUGUGUAGCGGUGAAAUGCGUAGAUAUAGGAAGGAACACCAGUGGCGAA